CGGGUGAGUAACACGUGAGUAACCUGCCCCAGAGUGGGGGACAACAGUUGGAAACGACUGCUAAUACCGCAUAAGCCCACGGAACCGCAUGGUUCUGGGGGAAAAGGGAGCAAUUCGCUUUGGGAUGGACUCGCGUCCGAUUAGCUAGAUGGUGAGGUAACGGCCCACCAUGGCGACGAUCGGUAGCCGGACUGAGAGGUUGAUCGGCCACAUUGGGACUGAGACACGGCCCAG
Molecule: ribosomal RNA, 234 nt
Filed under: uncultured bacterium
Lineage: Bacteria
Description: partial 16S ribosomal RNA
Rfam family: Bacterial small subunit ribosomal RNA
Source: RNAcentral